AGCAACGCUUGAAAGACGCGCAGAUAGAUGUCAGAUUCUCCCGUAGGGAGGUCUGGCAAGGUGUUAGUUUAGGCGGCGGAGUUGUACGCGGGCCAGUCUGUGUUACAGCUUUGCCGUCAGGGUAGCUCCUUACGAGCUGCCCAAACUGAGGACCAGUUUUCCUCACAGGAGGAGGCUGGUGGGGCCUAGGGUGUUAGGGGUACAACGGUUGGCUCUUUCACAGAACGGGUGUUUUCCGUUCUGCGUUUGAGUCUGCCGCCUUUGGGCGUCUCCCUCUGAGAUGUCGGUUAGGAUUUCUUUUUUUUAUAUGUCCGUGUGUGUAACUGUUGCCUUUUAGCCUGUUGUGUUCCUGAGCAGCAAGAAGAGGCGGCUGUGGUGACCCGCCCGAUGCGGAAGGCUUCUGGGCCCUGUCGGCGGGGGCGCACCUCUCUGGCUGACUGGUUGACCAGGCUUUGACCAGGUGGCCGGGGAGGCGCAUCCUCGCUGGGCGGGGUCUGGGGGCCCUCCGUCUUGGGGAGGUCGCUGCAGCAGGAGGAGGUAACUACUGCUGGUUUUGUAAGGCAUUGUGGUUGAGAGCACCUUGCAGCUGUAACGCGAAUUUCGUUCCGUAAUAAACAAUGUACCGCCAUGCUGCCUGUCCUUCCUCCCUCCCAGCACUGUGUACGUCUGUGUGUGUGUGUGUGUGUUGCUUAAUUCUCCCUCACUGCACUGUGCGUACGUCUGUGUGUGUGUGUUGCUCUGUCUCUCUCUCUCAAUCUCUCUCUCUGUCUCUCUCUGUCUGUCUCUCUAUCUCUCAAUCUCUCUGUGUCUUUCUCUCUCUCUCUAGUUAGUAAAGAACAGGCAACGUUUGCCAUGGAAGCCUCUACAGUAUAAGACUCUACAGUAUACAUAAGACUACAGUGUACAUCCCAACCCUCUACGGCCGUUGCUGCUCCACCCGGGCAUUACCACAUCCACCCGGGUCUACAAGAAACCUCCACGGCCGAGCCUCAACCACAGAACACACCGCUACCGUUGAUGAGGUUCCACGCCCCGGACUACCGCCAUGUUAGCCUCCAUAAUAGUCCUCGGCGCACUUGUUCUGAGACGUCCUGACUGGAGAGCUACACAACACUGGUCAUCCGCUGAGUGGUUGAAUUCCUGGUCUACCGGCCCCUGGAGGAGUGGUCGAUUGCCUGGUCUACUGUGGAUAUGAGUGGUUGAUUCCCUGGUCUACCCCUGGAUGACGCAGCUGUUCCUAUGCAGGGGAAGACUCACACAAGCGAUAAGCACCUGUCAGACCUGGAGACUCCCCCCUGAGCCUGACGGUGGAGCUGUGGGCCCUGCACCAGACCCCCACACCCCCCCACACCACCCACAGCAGGGGCAGGGCGUUGAGACUCCCCCCACAGGCUAAGACAGGGAGGGACUUGAAGAUCCAGGUUUUUGUCAUCUGCACAGGAAUUGACACGUGAUGUCUAAGGUUCCGCCCAUGCAGCUGAAGGGUGCCAAUGCCUACACAUGCGUCGACCACAGGUGUGCGCUGGACAUUGCCUACAAUUCAUGGUGCAAAUGGGAGCGUCAGCGGAGAUCGAGCUGGCGGAAGGUUGGCGGCUGGGUCAAGCUCGCAACGGACAAGGAGUUCUAUGAGAUGUGCUCGGCGGAUGUUGUUGACCUCGGCCACAUCAAUGUUACUAAGGUGGUGGAGGUGGGGAACGGCAUCUACAUUGACGACGGACUCAAGGAGAUCGCUGAGACUACUACUACUACUAUUACUAUUACUAUCCUCUAUACUGAUAUGUGUACUAUUAAAUCCUCUAUACUGCUACUAUGUGUACUAUUGAAUCCCUUAUAUAGUACUUCCAUGACAGCUGAUCGGUGAUACUACUGCUACUACUACUAUGACCACUCAAUCCCUGGUAAGUACAAUGUCAUUAUCAUCAUUAUUUAGGUUAAGGUCCAUUUAAUUCAAUCUUCCUGAGCGGUUGGACGCUUUAUGGCUCUCCUCCAUUCUACUCUGUCUUCCGCCCAAUGCUUAUACAGUCCUAUCAAUCCCAAGUCUUCCUGUACACACCUUCUCCAUGUUUUCCUAGGUCUACCAACUGGUCUCCUUCCUUCUACCUCCAUUCUACUCUGUCUUCUGCCCAAUGCUCAUCCAAUCCCAUCAGUGCCAAGUCUUCCUGUACACACCUUCUCCAUGUUUUCCUAGGUCUACCAACUGGUCUCCUUCCUUCUACCUCCAAUCUCUCCAACACUCCCAGCACUGUAUCCUCCCCUGCUCUCUUUACAUGUCCAAACCAUCGGAGUCUUUCCCUUCUGAGCACUGUUUCCAGGUCCUCUACUAAAACUCCCAGCACUGUGUCCUCCCCUGCUCUCUUUACAUGUCCAAACCAUCGGAGUCUUUCCCUUCUGAGCACUGUUUCCAGGUCCUCUACUAAAACUCCCAGCACUGUGUCCUCCCCUGCUCUCUUUACAUGUCCAAACCAUCGGAGUCUUUCCCUUCUGAGCACUGUUUCCAGGUCCUCUACUAAAACUCCCAGCACUGUGUCCUCCCCUGCUCUCUUUACAUGUCUCUGCCAAAUAUUUCCCUCUCCCUGCCUCUGUCCCUGCCAAAUCACUCUCUCCAUGCCUGUGUCCCUGCCAUAUCUCUCCCUCCCUGCCAAAUCUAGCCUCUCCUCCUUACCUAACCUACCUUACCCUACCCUAAGCUACCCUAACCUACCUCUCUCUCCACCAGGUUGACAAGCCCGUCCAUGGUGAAGAAGCCUUGUCCUACCUGCGCUGAGGUGACCCAUGUGGGCAACACUACCAUGGACGGAGCAGUGGGGGAGGCGGUGGCUGAGUGGAUAGCAUGAUGGCGCCACAUUCGGGACAACGCGAGUUCAAUCCCCGCCCGGUGCCACCAAGCUGGGAUUUUUCAGCCGCCGCCGAGUGGCUUAAAACUACCCACAUGCUGUCCAGAAGACCACCUAUCAACCCGGACUCUAGAUUCUAGGAUUAAAGAUGAGCUCCGGGAGGGCA
This is a long non-coding RNA of Eriocheir sinensis (Chinese mitten crab), 3000 nucleotides long. RefSeq lists it as uncharacterized. The record is from RefSeq and is a predicted model, not a curated record. Lineage: Eukaryota; Metazoa; Arthropoda; Malacostraca; Decapoda; Varunidae. The transcript is spliced from 6 exons.